CGGACUGCAGGCUGCAACUCGCCUGCACGAAGUUGGAAUUGCUAGUAAUCGUGGAUCAGCAUGCCACGGUGAAUACGUUCCCGGGCCUUGUACACACCGCCCGUCACACCAUGAGAGUUGGGAAUACCCGAAGCCUGUGAGCUAACUUUACGAGGCAGCAGUCGAAGGUAGAAUCAAUGAUUGGGGUGAAGUCGUAACAAGGUACC
RNAcentral lists this ribosomal RNA (206 nucleotides) under uncultured bacterium. Its description in RNAcentral is "partial 16S ribosomal RNA". It matches the Rfam family "Bacterial small subunit ribosomal RNA", at positions 1294 to 1500 of the family's 1533-position model. The record is from RNAcentral.